RNAcentral lists this ribosomal RNA (974 nucleotides) under Bacillus cereus. RNAcentral's name for it is "bacterial SSU rRNA". It matches the Rfam family "Bacterial small subunit ribosomal RNA", at positions 50 to 1002 of the family's 1533-position model. The record is from RNAcentral. Lineage: Bacteria; Bacillati; Bacillota; Bacilli; Caryophanales; Bacillaceae.
AAGACUUGCAAGUCGAGCGAAUGGAUUAAGAGCUUGCUUCCUAUGAAGUUAGCGGCGGACGGGUGAGUAACACGUGGGUAACCUGCCCGUAAGACUGGGAUAACUCCGGGAAACCGGGGCUAAUACCGGAUAACAUUUUGAACCGCAUGGUUCAAAAUUGAAAGGCGGCUUCGGCUGUCACUUAUGGAUGGACCCGCGUCGCAUUAGCUAGUUGGUGAGGUAACGGCUCACCAAGGCAACGAUGCGUAGCCGACCUGAGAGGGUGAUCGGCCACACUGGGACUGAGACACGGCCCAGACUCCUACGGGAGGCAGCAGUAGGGAAUCUUCCGCAAUGGACGAAAGUCUGACGGAGCAACGCCGCGUGAGUGAUGAAGGCUUUCGGGUCGUAAAACUCUGUUGUUAGGGAAGAACAAGUGCUAGUUGAAUAGCCUGGCACCUUGACGGUACCUAACCAGAAAGCCACGGCUAACUACUUGCCAGCAGCCGCGGUAAUACGUAGGUGGCAAGCGUUAUCCGGAAUUAUUGGGCGUAAAGCGCGCGCAGGUGGUUUCUUAAUUCUGAUGUGAAAGCCCACGGCUCAACCGUGAAGGGUCAUUGAAAACUGGGAAACUUGAUUGCAAAAAAGGAAAGUGAAAUUCCAUGUGUAGCGGUGAAAUGCGUAAAGAUAUGAAGGAACACCAUUGGCAAAGGCGACUUUCUGGUCUGUAACUGACACUGAGGCGCGAAAGCGUGGGAAGCAAACAGGAUUAGAUACCCUGGUAGUCCACGCCGUAAACGAUAAGUGCUAAUUGUUAAAGGGUUUCCGCCCUUUAGUGCUGAAGUUAACGCAUUAACCACUCCGCCUGGGGAGUACGGCCGCAAGGCUGAAACUCAAAGGAAUUGACGGGGGCCCGCACAACCGGUGAAGCAUGUUGUUUAAUUCAAAGCAACGCGAAAAACCUUACCAGGUCUUGACUUCCUCUGAAAACCCUA